AUGUGGACGAGGAGGCAACAGAUCGGACGAGGAGGCAACAGAUCGGGAGGCGGGCAAGAGGAACCAGGUGGUUCUCCUUCCAUGGUCGGGCCUCGACCAGCCGCAUCUUCCUCUCCCAGUCCGGCUGAGAGGAGUGGCGGAUCCGCCUCCUCAAGCGAGCAGGGGCGCACGGGGAUUCGAUCCAGGGAUCUCCUUGCGAGAGGCCGCCACCGUACCGACUCCAACCUGCAGCCUGUUCCAACUCAGAAAGUGACAGUUAUACAAGAAGAACCAGAUGCCACUGAAGAUGCCAACGCAGCGUGGAGGAGCCGGCUUCCCGUGUCAGAGUUGCGUGUACUUGCGGGCUACUUCACCGUCACCAGCCCAUCUGUAGGGAUGGACAUAUGGAUUGAGUGGUACCCACCUGAAAGAUACACAUCUCAGCAGCCAAGAACUUCAAUAAAAAUGUAUAUCCCAACUCCUUUUAUAAUCUUGAAUGCUUCUCGGUCAACGUCGGUGUCACUUCCAGUCUUGGAUGCUACCAGGAUGCCAGGGAAGAGGUGUGAAAUUCUCAACUUAGGAAGGAACAUACAACCUGUAAUGUGUCGAUCACUAACUAAUAAACAGGAGUCUGAUGUUGGAAAGAAGCAACUGCGGCUCUCCCUCGGCUAUGCCUGGAUGUUCGAGCUGUCAGUGUGGUACAGGAGCAGCAGCCACCAUCGCUGUCAAGUAGCUCCAGCAAUCACGUGCUCACUCUUGCUUCACAGACUAUGUAUGAAAAUUGGAGGUUUUAGGAUCUUUGGAAGUUUUUUGAGGCAUCACCCUUCUUGUCCGCAGUUAAAAGGUUUGACGCAGUACAGUGCGGGGGAGGCGGUGUCCUCUGCAGCUAGGUCUACUUGCUGGCGACCUCACCAUCACCAACCCAUCUACAGAUCCAGAAGCUCACGCAUGGAGGACAUGGACAUUGGUAUCGUCUGUGACGAGGGUUCCCCAGGAUCAAUAGCGUCAAGGACAGGAACGCCUGUGCCCAAUGAUAAUGACUACCUGAUAGUGAUUCCUUAUGCUCACAUCUUUGGCCUCAUGCUGCAAGCUCUAAAGCUGCCCCCUGCAACUUACCAGCACAAAAUAUACCCAGGCGGAAAGAAUCGUGUGACAGUGACUUUCAUUUCUACUUUGGAAUUGCUAGAUGGUUCACUUGUCCCGAGUUCUAUACCAGGUGCAAUCUUAGAUAGCUAUGAAGAUGCAGAAGACUGCUGCUAUGGAGGCUAUUACACAUGGAGAAUGCAUAUGGCAAAGAAAUGA
RNAcentral lists this ribosomal RNA (1281 nucleotides) under Triticum aestivum (bread wheat). RNAcentral's name for it is "partial small subunit ribosomal RNA". The record is from RNAcentral. Lineage: Eukaryota; Viridiplantae; Streptophyta; Magnoliopsida; Poales; Poaceae.